This 473-nucleotide ribosomal RNA is filed under the name Neoscytalidium dimidiatum. RNAcentral describes it as "eukaryotic LSU rRNA". The stretch from base 141 to 294 matches the Rfam family "5.8S ribosomal RNA". Lineage: Eukaryota; Fungi; Ascomycota; Dothideomycetes; Botryosphaeriales; Botryosphaeriaceae. The record is from RNAcentral.
UUGUGUACCCACCUCUGUUGCUUUGGCGGGCCGCGGUCCUCCGCGGCCGCCCUCCGUCCGGGGGGUGGCCAGCGCCCGCCAGAGGACCAUCAAACUCCGGUCAGUGAACGUUGCCGUCUGAAAAACAAUCAAUAAACUAAAACUUUCAACAACGGAUCUCUUGGUUCUGGCAUCGAUGAAGAACGCAGCGAAAUGCGAUAAGUAAUGUGAAUUGCAGAAUUCAGUGAAUCAUCGAAUCUUUGAACGCACAUUGCGCCCCUCGGUAUUCCGAGGGGCAUGUCUGUUCGAGCGUCAUUACAACCCUCAAGCUCUGCUUGGUGUUGGGCACCGCCCUUCCGCGGGCGCGCCUCAAAGACCUCGGCGGUGGCGUCUUGCCUCGAGCGUAGUAGAAAACACCUCGCUUUGGAGCGCACGGCGCCGCCCGCCGGACGAACCUUUUGAACUUUCUCAAGGUUGACCUCGGAUCAGGUAGG